This 37-nucleotide ribosomal RNA is filed under the name Sporothrix sp. HMY-2013. RNAcentral describes it as "partial 28S ribosomal RNA". The record is from RNAcentral. Lineage: Eukaryota; Fungi; Ascomycota; Sordariomycetes; Ophiostomatales; Ophiostomataceae.
CCCGCUGAACUUAAGCAUAUCAAAAACCGGGAGGGAA